UAGCCUUGACAUUGAUUGAACGGACCAGAGAUGGACCGGUGCCCUUCGGGGAACAUGAAAACAGGUGCUGCACGGCUGUCGUCAGCUCGUGUCGUGAGAUGUUGGGUUAAGUCCCGCAACGAGCGCAACCCUCGUCAAUAGUUGCCAGCAGGUUAAGCUGGGCACUCUAUUGAGACUGCCUUCGCAAGGAGGAGGAAGGUGAGGACGACGUCAAGUCAUCAUGGCCCUUAUGGCUAGGGCUACACACGUGCUACAAUGGGGCGUACAGAGAGUUGCGAUACCGCGAGGUGGAGCCAAUCUCAUAAAGCGUCUCUCAGUUCGGAUUGAAGUCUGCAACUCGACUUCAUGAAGCUGGAAUCACUAGUAAUCGUAGAUCAGCAAUGCUACGGUGAAUACGUUCCCGGGUCU
This 408-nucleotide ribosomal RNA is filed under the name uncultured bacterium. Its description in RNAcentral is "bacterial SSU rRNA". It matches the Rfam family "Bacterial small subunit ribosomal RNA", at positions 976 to 1381 of the family's 1533-position model. The record is from RNAcentral.